Molecule: non-coding RNA, 283 nt
Filed under: Pongo abelii (Sumatran orangutan)
Lineage: Eukaryota; Metazoa; Chordata; Mammalia; Primates; Hominidae
Source: RNAcentral
AUAACGGGACUCGCCUUUCUACGUUACUUUAUGUGGGAGUAGUUGUAAAACAGAAUGAAGGAGACCACGGGGCUUGUGCAGAAAUGUAGCCACUGUUUACAUGGUAGGAGAAUCGCUUGAACCUGGGAGGUGGAGGUUGCAGUGAGCUGAGAUUGUACCACUGCACUCCAGCCUGGGCCAUAAAGUGAGAGCUUGACGGUGGGGCGGGGGUGUGGGAUGGACCUUCAGUGGUCCCAGCUACUCAGGAGGCUGAGGUGGGAGGAUUGCUUGAGCCCAGGAGUUU